GACGAACGCUGGCGGCGUGCUUAACACAUGCAAGUCGAACGGAAAGGCCCUGCUUUUGUGGUGUUCUCGAGUGGCGAACGGGUGAGUAACACGUGAGUAACCUGCCCUUGACUUUGGGAUAACUUCAGGAAACUGGGGCUAAUACCGGAUAGGAGCUCCUGCGGCAUGGUGGGGGUUGGAAAGUUUCGGCGGUUGGGGAUGGACUCGCGGCUUAUCAGCUUGUUGGUGGGGUAGUGGCUUACCAAGGCUUUGACGGGUAGCCGGCCUGAGAGGGUGACCGGCCACAUUGGGACUGAGAUACGGCCCAGACUCCUACGGGAGGCAGCAGUGGGGAAUAUUGCACAAUGGGCGGAAGCCUGAUGCAGCAACGCCGCGUGCGGGAUGACGGCCUUCGGGUUGUAAACCGCUUUCGCCUGUGACGAAGCGUGAGUGACGGUAAUGGGUAAAGAAGCACCGGCUAACUACGUG
Molecule: ribosomal RNA, 468 nt
Filed under: uncultured bacterium
Lineage: Bacteria
Description: partial 16S ribosomal RNA
Rfam family: Bacterial small subunit ribosomal RNA
Source: RNAcentral